UACAGAGGGUGCGAGCGUUGUCCGGAAUCAUUGGGCGUAAAGCGCGCGUAGGCGGCCCGAUAAGUCCGCUGUGAAAGUCAACGGCUCAACUGUUGGAUGCCGGUGGAUACUGUCGGGCUAGAGUACGGAAGAGGCAAGUGGAAUUCCUGGUGUAGCGGUGGAAUGCGCAGAUAUCAGGAGGAACACCUAUAGCGAAGGCAGCUUGCUGGGACGUUACUGACGCUAAGGCGCGAAAGCGUGGGGAGCGAACAGG
RNAcentral lists this ribosomal RNA (253 nucleotides) under uncultured bacterium. RNAcentral's name for it is "partial 16S ribosomal RNA". It matches the Rfam family "Bacterial small subunit ribosomal RNA", at positions 524 to 776 of the family's 1533-position model. The record is from RNAcentral.